Long non-coding RNA from Capsicum annuum, 2798 nucleotides. RefSeq lists it as uncharacterized. The transcript is spliced from 2 exons. The record is from RefSeq and is a predicted model, not a curated record. Lineage: Eukaryota; Viridiplantae; Streptophyta; Magnoliopsida; Solanales; Solanaceae.
CUGGCCAAUAUUAACCGCUCUACCACAAUUCUACAACGGCAAAACCAGCUACCACGACAAAAACCAGUACAAUGUUUAACACCAACACAGCUGCAACGUCCACUAAAAGCAGCCUUUAACAACGGCGUACAACAAAACAAUGGCAAAACGGCAACUCACAUAACAACAAAAACAGUUGCGUACAACAACUGUAUCAACAACAAACAACGACAACACAUAGCAAAGCACCGUUAACCAGAAAAACCUUAAUUUCCCAUUUACCGAUUUAUCACCCUCCCCCCCACCCCCGGCGCGCGUUCAGCUAUCUAUGGCUAAAAAUCAGAUGACUUUCACCACAUUCAGUCCAUUAUUCACUUUUUCGGAGGCAGUGAAGGAUAGAGUGGAGAAGAUUUUUUAGGGGAAAAUUGAGGAUUCGGGUGGCGCAUGCUUCUAAUCCUAGGUAACCCAAAAAAUUCUCGGAGAAACAUACUCAAAAACUCAAUUCCGAUGAAAGUUAAACUCCAAAGAUUCAGAAUUUAAACUCUAGUGGUGAAAGCCCAUCCUCAAAGUUCGUCGUUCCGUUUGCUGCCCGCAAAAAGGUAAACAUAGCCUGCUCUUUGUCAUUUCCUCUUGUUUUUUUAUUUUUCUUCUCAUUAGUAGCAAUGUGUAAUGAGUGUUGGGACUGUCUGCUGUAGACGGCUUUGAAAGCCAUAGGUUUUGUGUGAUGAAUCCACUUUUCUCCGUUUUGUUUUUCUCAUUUUUCUCAGAGUUAUCAUUCUGUAGUAAUUUGACUGAUUUGAUGAUAAUUGUUAAGUAUGGUGUUGUCGCUCUAGUAUCUAGAUUUUAUUAUAUUUUUGUUGCUGCUUUAGAGAUUGAAUAUCAUUGUUAAUGUGAGUAUGCUGGUUCUGUUCAUAUAAUAGUCAGUGAUGUGAAGGGUAUGUUGUUAGUUUGGAAGACACUGUUUUCUUGCUUGUAUAAAGCCUUUGUGUUAGUCAAAUGUGAACUCUUAAAAACUUUUUCUUUCCUUUGCUUCGUUCUGCCAGUGUAAAUCUGGUUUGCCUCAUAGAUUCUUUUUGUUAUGUGUUUGAAACAGAUUGUUCAAAGUGUUCAAGUAUGAAUGUGUAGGCCUAGUGAACCCUGAAUGACUUGUUGGCCUUUGGUUCAACGUGAUUAGCCAUAUAGAGGGUGAAGGUCGUUUAAAAUAGUUAGAUUGUAUCUCCCUUGUCGUAAGUUUGUUUUGUCAAUGAAAGUAUGUUUCAUGGUUGCGCCUAGCUUUAACAGCUACGUAGACUUUCAUUUUUAGAGUUUCAAUUCCUAUAAAGUCAUAUGGUCGUAAUCGAAAGGCAAGAUUGAUGAUAACAUGUUGGUUAAGCAUUGCCUCUCUUUUCUUGCAUUUUAUUUCAAUUAUGUAUGAAUUCUUAUGAGCUUUGGCGAGUUAACUAUGUGAUAGUGAUGGCCCUAGUUCAUUGUCGCACAUCUAGUUGUGUUUGGACAUGCCCCCGGCGCAGUUAUAAUCCGUAAUUUUCUCAUGGUUUCACCCUAGCUCUUUAAAAGAACAAUUUGUCGUUAAUCUGUCCACCUGCUUUUUAUUCUUAAAGAAAAUAAAAAUGAAUCUGCUAGUUACCCUUUUAUUAUCAUUCCUAGCCCAAAACGUCUACACGUCUGUUGAAGUGUGAUAUAUUUUUUCCCCUAAAUAGUUAAUUUUAACUUUCUUUUAUAACUCAAAAUGCUUUGAGAUGUUCACGCAAUCUUAUAUACUUAAGGAAUACACAUGUUCAUAUCGGAUAACAGAGAUUCGAAUAAACAUAUUUGACUACUGUUAAAUCACUGUGAGUCUGAUUUGAAGAAUUUCAUAUGGUUCUUGUGUGGUUAUUUCAUAUAAUUUGUUACUUUUGAUCUUCUUUGAGGUUAACUUAGUUGAGAAAUAAUAAAUUAGUCAAUCUGGUUUUGCUGAGGUUGCUUAUGUUUAGUCUUUUUGGUUCUCUGUUCUAUUUAUGUAUUUUAUUGGGGAUUUUAGUUCAAAUGUAUUGUGUUCUGUUUGGCUUCCAGUUAAACUAUGUAUUAUCGCCAUUAUGGAUCUUGUUAGUAAAUUUGAAGUUUAAAACUCGGAUUUAUUAUGUAGUUUUGUGUUUAAAGACCUAAAACCUUUUGUUUACUGCAUUUGUAUCUCUGAUCAUGUACUUUUUGCAAAAAAUGUGUUCUGAAACAUGAUCAAUGGGUUUAUGCGAUAAUAUGUGCAAUAUCGUGAAACUUGUGUGACUACUCCAAUGCAUUCUUGCUAUCAUUAGAUUGUUGUCACGAUACACACUAAUUCUUAUAUUUUUUCUUAAUGCAUGUGGCGUUGACUUGAAUUCCAACGGACUCCAUUCCUUGCAUUUCUCAACGGGCCAAAGGGGCCUACAUCUUCUACGAGCUCAAAUGCCUUUAUUUUUUAAGAAACAAAGCUGUAUAUGCAUUUAUACAUCAGAAAUACAGCAUAUAUAUGGUGAAUGUGAGAAAAAAGAAGCUUAUUAUACAGGUGGACUAAAAUACGUGUAUAUGAUAAAGAUAUGGUCAUGUAUACACCAGAUAUACAAAAAUGCAGUAAGAAAAGUAGCUGAUAUACACAUCGUAUACACUGCAGAAAAAUGGACCGAAGUCCAUAAUUCAAACCCCAAAGCUGGGCAGCUUUAUUGAUGGGCUAACUAAGGGCCCAAUUUCAGUUCUUGUAUCAUUUUUAUAGCUUGUAUGCUUAUUUGUAUUAAUUAGCUUUUUAAUCAUUAACCUAGACAAAUUCCCUAAAGUGUUGUCAUUUUUAUUUUAUCUUAGUUUUCUUUUAC